Molecule: long non-coding RNA, 325 nt
Organism: Lagopus leucura (white-tailed ptarmigan)
Lineage: Eukaryota; Metazoa; Chordata; Aves; Galliformes; Phasianidae
Exons: 3
Source: RefSeq, a predicted model, not a curated record
AAAUCAGAAGCAAAAUUGUAGGGGAAGCCAAAUAGUGUUUCUGCAGUUGUGUUGGACCAGUUGCUGUAUAAGUGACAAACCUGGGAUCAUUCCAUUUUGAGGUCUCCUGCAAUGAACCAGUUGAAAGCAGAGGGAGAAUUCAAAUCACUAUCUAUGAACUACUUGAGCGUUAAAUAUGAAAUGGUACUGAAAAUUCUAGACUUCAGACAGCUAGCCCAAUGUGAAGAACUGUCUGGUUACUUAGUGCAUACAAAAUUUCACAUCCAGGAGCAUGAAGAAAGAUCUCUUGCUGCUUCACGUGCAGCUUGUAGACUCUACCUCUCAG